This is a long non-coding RNA of Haliotis rufescens (red abalone), 853 nucleotides long. RefSeq lists it as uncharacterized. The record is from RefSeq and is a predicted model, not a curated record. The transcript has 3 exons. NCBI's taxonomy places the organism in Eukaryota, Metazoa, Mollusca, Gastropoda, Lepetellida, Haliotidae.
ACGCAGUUUAGACAGCCGGCACCAAGCCACCCGGAAGGAAGCGGCAAAGCACCAAUCACAAGCGAGAUUACGAAUGCCAAGGCCGUCAUUUCCGCAAUCUCUGGCCAUGGCGGCGGGCGCACCUGACUUCUCGCUGGCUGGCAUUACCACACCCAAGCGUGCUCGCUCCGUCGAGUCGCAUCUCCAUCGACGGACAGGACGAUUAUGCACAUGCAUCUGAAGAUCCUCUCCAAGAUGGCUCCGUGGCCACCGACACAAUCUCCUGACACAACUUACCACAGCCCUGAUAUUUUCUUCUUUGUGGAAGAUUGUGAAAGAAUUCCAUACGUCACAAUCUGUCGUUAAACAAGUGCUUCCUAAAAGUUCCAAGGUCGAAGGACGAUCCAGGAAAGGUACGUUCAUGUGAAAAGCGCCCCCAUUUGCAACACUGAACAGCAACACACAGUGUCACGUGCACACAGGCUGGUAAAAUUACUCAUGUGCUUUGAACAUGAUGGAGAAAAGGACACACCCAGGAAGAUAGCUAGGAUUUAACACUAAGUGCUCCUGGCAGGCCAAUUGGGAAAGAAUGGUUGUUUUGUUCAAAAUAGGGUUUUUGUGGGGAGUUCUUACUUUCAGAGGUUGCAUUUUAACAUUGCGUUCAUCACAGUCAUGUAAAAUUAUCCCUCUUUCUCUGUCUCCCACUGUUAUCAGUGAAAUGAAUACAAGUUACUUCGACCAAACCGUUACAUGAGUUGUAGCUAUAUUACACGAAUUUAGAUAUUUUAACUCCACUUUGGGGAUUUUUUACUGACAAUGCUGCAGGCUAGGCUGUGGAUGGAGUCUUGUACAGUCAUGGUAGCUAGGCCGUGGA